UCCCAUGCAGGUCCUGUGCAUUUUGAGGGACCCCACUUCCACCUGGAUUGCUGACAAGGACUCACCCUCACAGUCUCACCCUCCCGGAUGUCGCUCCAUUGGGGAAAGCUAUGUGAGUGGCUCAAAAUGACAGAGGAAGACCCUGGGGCCCGGAGCCUGCAGCCAGCAGAGUGAAGGAGCAGAGCCCCAGUGGGGGCGGGGCGGAGCCAGCUUGAGGAAUGGGAGUGAGGACUGGCGGCUCUGGGCCCCAGGGACAUGGGAGGGAGGGUUCAGGCUGUCCCUGUGGAGAACGCUGUCACAUAAUUACAGCAAUUUCAUUUCCUUAUAUUGGGGCAAAUCUGUGUUCCCUAAAACAAACAAAAUGAAAGCAAUUUAAAAGCAAA
Marmota flaviventris (yellow-bellied marmot) is the source of this 383-nucleotide long non-coding RNA. RefSeq lists it as uncharacterized. Lineage: Eukaryota; Metazoa; Chordata; Mammalia; Rodentia; Sciuridae. The record is from RefSeq and is a predicted model, not a curated record.